Molecule: ribosomal RNA, 131 nt
Filed under: Clonostachys rosea
Lineage: Eukaryota; Fungi; Ascomycota; Sordariomycetes; Hypocreales; Bionectriaceae
Description: partial small subunit ribosomal RNA
Rfam family: Eukaryotic small subunit ribosomal RNA
Source: RNAcentral
CCCUGCCCUUUGUACACACCGCCCGCCGCUACUACCGAUUGAAUGGCUCAGUGAGGCGUCCGGACUGGCCCAGAGAGGAGGGAAACCACCACUCAGGGCCGGAAAGCUCUCCAAACUCGGUCAUUUAGAGG